This is a non-coding RNA of Ceratotherium simum simum (southern white rhinoceros), 231 nucleotides long. Lineage: Eukaryota; Metazoa; Chordata; Mammalia; Perissodactyla; Rhinocerotidae. The record is from RefSeq and is a predicted model, not a curated record.
GGCCGGCCCCCAUCCCCUCCAACGUUUUUAAAUGAAAACAAAGGACGAAAAAUUAGUGGCACAAUUUCUUAGUUGCUCUACAGACUGUUAAUGAGAUUUAGUUGCAUAUGGUUCAGCAAAAGAGGAAAUGGCUCACACAGAUACUGAAAAAAUACUCUUCUAACACAAAUAGAUGUGAUGCAUAUGAUUUUUAAGGCUAAAUCAACUGAUAAAUUAAAAUUUACAACUCUU